Long non-coding RNA from Podarcis raffonei (Aeolian wall lizard), 606 nucleotides. RefSeq lists it as uncharacterized. The transcript is spliced from 2 exons. The record is from RefSeq and is a predicted model, not a curated record. Lineage: Eukaryota; Metazoa; Chordata; Lepidosauria; Squamata; Lacertidae.
GACUGUUAUGUAAAGUAGGUGUUGACUCCCCUGUUCUGAACCACCAGCAUCAUGCAGUCAGAAAGGCCCUCAAAGGUCACAGUCACAGGCCAUUGCCUGCAAUACACUACUACGCUGUCCCUGAUAGGUGGACAUCCAGCCUCUACCACACUACAACUAUAGUGAAAGCUGUGUGCUUCUGAAUACCAGUUUCUGGAAACCACAGGAAGGGAGAGUAGCCUAGUGCUCAGGUCCUGCUUGUGAGCUUCCCAUGAACAUCUGAUUGGCCAUUGUGAGAACAGGAAACUGGAUUAGAUGAGCCAUUCGCCUGGUCCAGCAGGACUCUUGUGAUCUUAUGACCAGCCAAGGAAAAGGGGAAUCCGUUGGAACUGACAUACCAGUUGUCUGUGCCCAGGUCACGUUCCUGUAUGUGCCUGUGUCAUUCCUAGCAAGAAGGCUGGGCGGCUUCUUUUCUUCUGGCUGGGCUUCUGUGACACUUAAAAGAAAACACGAGGCAAUUCAGCAAGGGUAGUGCUAAUCUUUGUUCAUCUUCAUGCCGGAAAACACUUGCUGAAAUUCUGCUUGAUGUGUGGCUGUUCAAGAAGGAGUUAUAGUAAAAAUGAAAUA